This 499-nucleotide ribosomal RNA is filed under the name uncultured bacterium. RNAcentral's name for it is "partial 16S ribosomal RNA". It matches the Rfam family "Bacterial small subunit ribosomal RNA", at positions 28 to 507 of the family's 1533-position model. The record is from RNAcentral.
GACGAACGCUGGCGGCGUGCCUAAAAAAGGAAAGUCAAGCGAGGUUUUCCUGGUCCUUGCACUAGAAAAACUUAGCGCCGACCGGGGGGGAAACACGUAAAGAACCUGCCCCUUAGACGGGGACAACCAUGGGAAAGGUAACCAAAAACGGGAUAAAACCAUUAACUGAAGGGUGGAGGUUUAAAAGUGGGUUUGGCUAAAAUAAGGAGAUGCUUUUGCGUUGCAUUAGCUAGUUGGUGGGGUAAAGGCCUACCAAGGCGACGAUGCAUAGCCGACCUGAGAGGGUGAUCGGCCACACUGGGACUGAGACACGGCCCAGACUCCUACGGGAGGCAGCAGUAGGGAAUCUUCCGCAAUGGGCGAAAGCCUGACGGAGCAACGCCGCGUGAGUGAAGAAGGAUUUCGGUUCGUAAAGCUCUGUUGUUAGGGAAGAAUGAUUGUGUAGUAACUAUACACAGUAGAGACGGUACCUAACCAGAAAGCCACGGCUAACUACGUG